This is a long non-coding RNA of Cyanistes caeruleus (blue tit), 545 nucleotides long. RefSeq lists it as uncharacterized. The record is from RefSeq and is a predicted model, not a curated record. Lineage: Eukaryota; Metazoa; Chordata; Aves; Passeriformes; Paridae.
CGGUCACGGCCUGGCGGCGUCGCGGGAGCACGCGCAGGAGCGCGCUUUGGCCUUCUCCGGGCUCGGCCGCCGGUACAAAGCUGUGCUUCGGAGGGACGAAGGAUUCAGUGCCGAGCCCCGUUUGGAACUUGAGCACAGACAAACCCCUUAAGGCCACUAUAGCCCUGAAUCAAAGCAAGGAGACAGGCCCACCCCAUCUUAAGAAGAAUUCACAGUAUUACGGAGAGAGACUGCAAAGCCAACAAAUUCCGUGUCAAGGCCGAAGACUGUUGGGGUCAGAGGCACAGGAAAUGUGCCCUUAUCUGUGAUACCUGACUCUGACACCCAAGAAAGAAAAUUUCACAUAACAUCAGGGAGACAGCUGUUAAGUAGAGAAACUGGGAAUGUGAGUGAGUAAGUUAAGGGAGUUUUCUUAAGUCACUGGGUGAGAAAGUUAAAGUUUAAGGUUCAAGCUAUUUUAGAAAACGAGACAAGAUGGAGGACUUUGGGUGUUGUCCCUUUCUCCUUCUUCAUCAUCUUCUCGGGAUUUUUGGGUAAUAAUAAGU